GAUGAACGCUGGCGGCGUGCCUAAUACAUGCAAGUAGAACGCUGAAGGAAGGAGCUUGCUCUUUCCGGAUGAGUUGCGAACGGGUGAGUAACGCGUAGGUAACCUGCCUGGUAGCGGGGGAUAACUAUUGGAAACGAUAGCUAAUACCGCAUAACAGUAGAUGUUGCAUGAUAUCUACUUAAAAGGUGCAAUUGCACCACUACCAGAUGGACCUGCGUUGUAUUAGCUAGUUGGUGAGGUAACGGCUCACCAAGGCGACGAUACAUAGCCGACCUGAGAGGGUGAUCGGCCACACUGGGACUGAGCCACGGCCCAGACUCCUACGGGAGGCAGCAGUAGGGAAUCUUCGGCAAUGGACGGAAGUCUGACCGAGCAACGCCGCGUGAGUGAAGAAGGGUUUCGGAUCGUAAAGCUCUGUUGUAAGAGAAGAACGAGUGUGAGAGUGGAAAGUUCACACUGUGACGGUAUCUUACCAGAAAGGGACGGCUAACUACGUG
This 497-nucleotide ribosomal RNA is filed under the name uncultured bacterium. RNAcentral describes it as "partial 16S ribosomal RNA". It matches the Rfam family "Bacterial small subunit ribosomal RNA", at positions 28 to 507 of the family's 1533-position model. The record is from RNAcentral.